AGGCUUACUUUUCUUCCUCUGGCUGCUUCCUGUUCGCCAGCAGAAUCGCAUCCUCUCCAGGUCCUGGGAGAAGCUUCAGCCAUUCUCUCCCAACGAGAUGGACUUGGCUAUUUGCUUCCUGCGUGCCUGCUGCCCCCAAUGCUCAGCGCCCCCCUUCUGUUUUGGGGGCUGGCUUGGAUUUUUUUCCGAAGGAAGGGAGAGAACCAGAAAGCCCAACUUGGUUCGCUGGGUGGAUUUGACCGCUUCUUCAAUAGAUGGCUAUUGGCGCUUUAACAUUAUAACUCAUCAGAGCCUCAUGCACUCAGAAAAUAAAAACACGAGGGAUUUCGGGGGAGGGUGGGUGUGAAAUCCAGAAACUUAGGCACGACUGAGCAACUCCCCCAAAUCCAUCUGACUUGCGGGAAGCAGGAAGAUUAAAGAACUACGGAUGGGAAUAAGAAGUCAAUAGUCUCAUAUGACGACACACACAAAAAAAGAGGCAGCAAACUCGGAAAGGACAAAUUUCACUAGGAGGAGAAACCUUUUUCUUUUUCUGCUGCCUCCUGGGAGGGGGAAAGGGUCAGUCAGGGUUUCUUCAUGACCUGGGAUCCGACGCUUAACCUCGGCGUUUUCUUCCAGAACAGUCAGGGAACAGAUGUUUUCAUGGCUUCCCUCACAGGGCCUGGAGUACGGUGUGCAUCUUCAUGAGCGCAUGGAAUGAUGGAAUUAUCUUGUAUAUCAUCAUCCAACACAUCUGAGGUGUCUUUAAGUCCCUGAGGACUCAUUAGGUGAAUGAACUUAUGAUUCCGUCGAUAUGAGCGCCCAUUGACUUCAACAAUAUAAGUCCGGGGAUUUAUUUGUCCCAUGCAUGUUCCUUUCGUCCAAGGAUUUGUCUUGUCUUGAGGAAAUAUUUGGACACGUACAGAAUCUCCAGUGUGCAGAGGUGGUAGCUCUUUUGAAUCCCUGUCAUAAUAGCUUUUAGUUUCAUUGUGUUUGUGUUGCAGCUGAUCUGUGACUUUCAUUGCAAUUUUGGGUUUCAAUAAUGCAAGAGCUGUAGGUAGAAAGGAUCGUGUGCGUCUGGACAUAAGUCUUUGCACUGGACUGCUGUUCAUGCCAGCAGUUGGAGUAUUUCUCCACUCCAGGAUAGCUUGCCAUAUGUUUUCUUUAUUUCUUGCUGUUUUCUUUAAUAGAGUUUUUGCAAUUUUUAUGGCUGAUUCAGUUUUGCCAUUAGACUGACUGUUGUAGGGAGAUAACAUUAUGUGGUGAAAUUCCCAGUCUUUUGAAAAUGUGGCAAAUUCUUUGGAAGUGAACUGUGUUCCACCAUGUGAAAUCACACAGUCAGGUAUGCCAAGUCUGCUGAAGUGGUUCAUGAUUCUUUCUAUUACAGUUGCUGAUGUUGUAUCUGGAAGUUUAUCCAUUUCCCAGAAGUCUGAAUAGUAGUCUACCAGAAUGAGAGAAUUGCUGCAAUUUUUUGUGAAAAGGUCCAUCCCUACCUUACUCCAUGGUCUGUUAGGAAUGCCGUGUAUCACCAAUGGUUCUUUUUGCUGACUGGCUUGGAACUCAGCACAAACAUCACAGUUGCAUACAAGGUCUCUGAUGUCAUGAGCAAUGUUUGGCCAGUAUACCACAUCUCUAGCUUUCCGUAAACAUGCUUCUAUCCCAGAAUGACUACGAUGUAUUCUUGAUAAUAUGUCUUUUCUCAUGUCCUUUGGAAUGAGUAUUCGGUGUCCUUUGAAUAUGAUGCCAUCUUGGACACUUAAUUCAUCACAAUAGUUCCAGUAUUCUUGAAUAGACACUGGAGCUUUGUCCCGGGUGUCUGGCCAGCCUGCUAAGACAACCGAGAUCAAUACUUGCAACUCUUUGUCCUAUAAAGUAUGUUCCUGGACUCUUUGAAGUCCUUGAUGUGAGAUGGGCAUAUAAGCAGCUUGAUUAAUGCUUUCUAGUUCCUUUUGUCUGGCUUGCGCGUCAAGGGAAUUAAGUAUCUCAUAGUCUUGCAUGUCAGUGUGCCUGUCAUGUGGCAAGGGUGCUCUGGAUAGGAGAUCCGCAAUGUACAUCUGAGCUCCUUUUUUAUAUUGUACCUUCAAGGGAUAGCAUUGUAGCCUAAGAAGCAUGCGUUGGAGUCGCUUUGGAGAUGAUAGCAAUCCCUUCUUAAAAAUAACUUCUAGAGGCUUAUGAUCGCUGUCAACCUUAAUGCAUUUCUGACCUCGUAUAUAUUGGUCAAUUUUUUCACAAGCAAAUACUAUUGCUAAGCAUUCUUUUUCAUGAGCGCAUGGAAUGAUGGAAUUAUCUUGUAUAAUGCCAUUCAGUCUGUGAUAAAGACCUUGAUGCAAAAACAACAGGCUGUCCUUUUUGCAAAAGUACAGCACCCAGGCCGGUUUCACUGGCGUCACAUUGGAUGCUGACAUCUUCAUUUAUGUCAUAAUACUUCAACACGGGAUGUCUAGUAACCAAGUCUUUGAUCUGCUGGAGGGCUGUAUCAUGUUGAGGUAGCCACACCCAAGUUGCACCCGUGUCCAAUAGCUGUCUGAGAGGCUCACAAACAUCAGAAAGGCAAGGAAGAAAUUUAAUCAGAUAAUUAACAAAUCCCAGUAACUGCUGAAGAGAUUUGGUAUUGGAUGGUUUAGGCAUCUGCUGGAUAGCUCUCACCUUUUCUGGAUCUGGUUAUAAGCCUUGCAAUGUUAGGAGGUGUCCCACAUAGGAGGUGCCAUCUCUGCUAUCUUUUUGGGUCCUUUUGAAGACUUUCCUAUACCUUUUACUUCAUCAUUAAAUUUCUCAAUAUCUAAAAUGACUGUGCCCUAGAACAGUUGGUCAUGGAAGCAACCAGAGAUGCUGUUGCCUUAACUUAAUCUUAUGUGGUGCCCAGGUUCUAGAAGAAGAUGUAAGCGCUAUUGAACCAAUUGGAAACAGUGACCAAAGUGCUAUCAUAUUCAACAUAUAGGUAAGGGGGCAAUUGCCAAGGAAAUUCAACUUCAAACUUCCCAGAAAUGAGGGAUUUGCAAAAAGAAGAAGAAGAAGACGAAGAAGAAGUGAAAUCUCUGCAGAAUGCUUGGUAACGUGUUGCGUGUUGUGUAUAAGGACUACCUGUUUCCUGCUUUUGUAAGGUCAUCAGAUACAGAGGCUAGGAUUCCUUGUAGAAGUGGUACAUAAACCGUUUAUUACCAAGGCUGGCAGUCUCUCACCAGUCCUUGUUCCAAAGCCACACACCCUUCUCCUCCACCAUGUGAAGGAGCAAUGAGGUCAGAGAGUUUUCUCCCAUGGAUAAAAAGAAAGCUUUUUCUACCUCCUCCUCCUCCUCUCUGUAUUGUCACAGUCCCUGUCUCACGCUCAAGAACAAACAUUGACACAAACACAGACAUUUUCUUUCUUGCCUUGAUGUACCCAGAGGCGCUUAGUUUCACUGUGCCCAUAGGCUUUUGUGAAGCAGCAGAAAUAUCUGCUGCAGUGUGACAUGCAUACUGAUUAACGUGCCCCAUUUCACUGUAUCCCCCAGACAGGCAUCGUUCAUUCUGUGUAAUGAUGAUUGAGAUCCUUAAUGAAGAAAGUCAGAGAAGAGCAAGGCUUUCAUUACAUUUACUUGGAAGUAAGUCCUAUUUAAUUUAGUGGGGCAUACUUAUGAAUAAACGUGGAUAGGAUGAGGUUGCAUGUGAAAUAAUAGGAACCAUACAUAAAGCCAUAUACCCAGCUUCUUUCCCCUGUACUUGCAGAUUUGUUGUUAUGUGCCUUCAAGUCGAUUUCAACUUAUGGCGACCAUAUAAAGAAGGAGGUGGUAAAAUCCUGAGGUGGUAGAAUGGAUUGUACCAUUUCAGCUUGCAGACAGGAGAUGAACACUUCCGCACAUAAAAUAUUCCACUUUUAAAUUAAAGAAAACAAAACCACAGGUACAUCAGGAAGGAGAUUUCUUGAUAUUAAUUUCAUACUUGCAGACUUUUUUUUUAAAAAAGCAGUGAAUGUAACAGGCCAUGGAGGAGGAAUUUGGGGUGAGCAGGCAUUUUAAAAAAACCAGACCCUCCACCUGCCAUCUGAAGUGGCACAGGCCAUUCUUUUGCCUCAGUAUUCUGCCACUAGCUUCUAUAGAGGAGGAGCCUAAGAUUUUUUCAUAGAUGGAAAAAAAUGUUGAGACUAUUUGUUGUUUAAUACAUCUCAGUUUAUCUCUGGUAUUUGACUUACUCUUCUCUGAUCAGUAUUGGUCUGGUGUUUUCUAUUGAUGGUGGUACCUUAAUAAAGAAGCAGACAGUACUCGGACUAGUCA
This is a long non-coding RNA of Rhineura floridana, 4228 nucleotides long. RefSeq lists it as uncharacterized. Lineage: Eukaryota; Metazoa; Chordata; Lepidosauria; Squamata; Rhineuridae. The transcript has 3 exons. The record is from RefSeq and is a predicted model, not a curated record.